RNAcentral lists this small RNA (217 nucleotides) under Marmota monax (woodchuck). The record is from RNAcentral. Lineage: Eukaryota; Metazoa; Chordata; Mammalia; Rodentia; Sciuridae.
AAGAAGUGCAGAGAACAUAGCAGAUAUUCAAUGGUAUUUAUUCAACAAAUGGAUAGUCAUAAAAAUUAUAUUCCAAAUGAGGGUAGAUUUUUAUUAUUUAAAAAGGUGUGUGUGUGUGUGUGUGUGUGUGUGUGUGUGAGUUAGUUACUGGGGACUGAACUCAGGGCUUCAUGCAUGCCUGGCGAGCAUUCUACCACUAAACUACAUCUCCGUCUGA